Molecule: long non-coding RNA, 152 nt
Organism: Gavialis gangeticus (Gharial)
Lineage: Eukaryota; Metazoa; Chordata; Crocodylia; Gavialidae
Exons: 3
Source: RefSeq, a predicted model, not a curated record
CAUUCCUGAGGGAGAGGGGAAACCUGCUCCCUCUGCCUAUGUGACUGACACCACAUACCUGGGUGAGGGGCUUAAAUUCCCUAUUGUUCUAAGUAAUGCUAACCUGACUGGGAGGGAGCUAGAGACCCUGCCAUGAGUCUGCCUGGAAACAA